This 73-nucleotide transfer RNA is filed under the name Acanthoscelides obtectus. It matches the Rfam family "tRNA". From Rfam's summary of the family: Transfer RNA (tRNA) molecules are approximately 80 nucleotides in length. Their secondary structure includes four short double-helical elements and three loops (D, anti-codon, and T loops). Further hydrogen bonds mediate the characteristic L-shaped molecular structure. tRNAs have two regions of fundamental functional importance: the anti-codon, which is responsible for specific mRNA codon recognition, and the 3' end, to which the tRNAs corresponding amino acid is attached (by aminoacyl-tRNA synthetases). tRNAs cope with the degeneracy of the genetic code in two manners: having more than one tRNA (with a specific anti-codon) for a particular amino acid; and 'wobble' base-pairing, i.e. permitting non-standard base-pairing at the 3rd anti-codon position. The record is from Rfam by way of RNAcentral. Lineage: Eukaryota; Metazoa; Arthropoda; Insecta; Coleoptera; Chrysomelidae.
GCCUCUGUAGCUUAAGUGGCAAAGCACUGGUUUUGUAAACCAGGAGUCGCGAGUUCAAUCCUCACAGGAGGCA